This 255-nucleotide ribosomal RNA is filed under the name uncultured bacterium. RNAcentral describes it as "partial 16S ribosomal RNA". It matches the Rfam family "Bacterial small subunit ribosomal RNA", at positions 524 to 776 of the family's 1533-position model. The record is from RNAcentral.
GACAGAGGGUGCAAACGUUGUUCGGAAUUACUGGGCGUAAAGCGAGUGUAGGCGGUUCGAUAAGUCGGAUGUGAAAGCCCCGGGCUCAACCCGGGAAGUGCACUCGAUACUGUCGAGCUAGAGUAUCGGAGAGGUUGGUGGAAUUCUCGGUGUAGAGGUGAAAUUCGUAGAUAUCGAGAGGAACACCGGUGGCGAAGGCGGCCAACUGGGACGAAAUACUGACGCUGAGAAGCGAAAGCAUGGGGAGCGAACAGG